RNAcentral lists this ribosomal RNA (537 nucleotides) under Triticum aestivum (bread wheat). RNAcentral's name for it is "partial small subunit ribosomal RNA". The record is from RNAcentral. Lineage: Eukaryota; Viridiplantae; Streptophyta; Magnoliopsida; Poales; Poaceae.
AUGGGCGACGAUGAUAGCAAGACCAAGCAGCUUGCGCUGGGAGGCAGUUCGGCGGUGAAGAAAGAAACCUUACCCCCGACGACCUUCCCGCGGCUAGAGGGAGAGGACUAUGCUAUGUGGGCGAUCAAGAUGGAGUGCGCCAUGGAGGCUCACGAAAUAUGGGAUGCGAUCGAUCUUGGAGGCGAUGCAUAUAAGAAGGGAGGUACAGAAUAUAAGAAGGAUCGGCAGGCCAUGUCUGCGAUCUACUCUGUCAUCCCCAAUGAUGUAGCACGUCAUGUAUCCGGGAAGAAUACAGCAGCAGAAGCUUGGGAGGUGAUCAAGGAACUUCACCAAGGGCACAGCCGUGUUCGUGAGGCUCGUCUGCAAUCUCUGUUGAGUGAUUAUGAAAGUGUGAAGAUGGAUGAAAGUGAAUCCGUGGAUAAAUUUGCCAUGAGGGUGGUUGAGAUCACCAGCUCCAUCAAGGACCUUGGAGAGACUUUGACAGAUAUCGCGAUUGUACGUCGCUUCCUCCGUGCUGCAGCACCACGAUACAUGUAG